GAUGAAGAACGUAGCGAAAUGCGAUACGUAAUGUGAAUUGCAGAAUUCAGUGAAUCAUCGAAUCUUUGAACGCACCUUGCGCUCCUUGGUAUUCCGAGGAGCAUGCCUGUUUGAGUGUCAUUAAUAUAUCAACCUUCUCUUUUUUGAGUUGUUUGGAUGUGGGGGUUUGCUGGCCUCUUAAAUGAUUCAGCUCCCCUGAAAUGCAUUAGCAGAACAACCUGUUCAUUAGCGUGAUAAUUAUCUAUGCUAUUGAAUGUGAGGGCAGUUCAGCUUUCUAACCGUCCUUGGACAAUUCAUCAUUAAUGUGACCUCAAAUCAGGUAGGACUACCCGCUGAACUUAAGCAUAUCAAUAAGCGGAGGA
This 362-nucleotide unclassified non-coding RNA is filed under the name soil metagenome. RNAcentral describes it as "partial contains 5.8S ribosomal RNA, internal transcribed spacer 2, and large subunit ribosomal RNA". The stretch from base 1 to 120 matches the Rfam family "5.8S ribosomal RNA", at positions 35 to 154 of the family's 154-position model. The record is from RNAcentral.